AGCACAGUGGUGCAGCUUAUUACUACAAUUGGAACAACAGAGAGACGAUCAGAACGGCCUCUGCGAGGAUGACACACACAUUCAUGAUGCUUCCAUGAUUUUG
This is a small nuclear RNA of Arvicanthis niloticus (Nile rat), 103 nucleotides long. Lineage: Eukaryota; Metazoa; Chordata; Mammalia; Rodentia; Muridae. The record is from RefSeq and is a predicted model, not a curated record.